CUCCGAGAGACCACGGGGACGAGCGGGGAGGAGAGCAGCGCAGCUUCAUGCUGCACCGAGAAGGGGGCGGGGGGGGGAGGGAGCGGGGGGGAGAAAACCCCAAUUCCCCCAACGCUGCCUCUCCGCGGCCCUGAAAUCCACGUGAACGGGUUAAUGGGAACUCCCCGGGCCCGUCCCACGGCACCUCCCGCGGGUGCGGAGCGCUGACUCACACUUUCCAGCGCUGCGGCGCUCCGCGGGGGGGAGCGGUGGCACUGAGCGCCCGGGGCCGUUCUCACGUGUGCGUGGGGCACGGAACGGCGCUUCGGCAGAACCGGGGGUUGUCGGGUUGUUUGGCAGCGACCUACCGGUAUCUGAUGGGUUGUUGGGGAAGGGCUCGGGGCGCAACCCGGAGUUGGAGGCGCAGAGGAAAACAAACCCAAACCAGACCUGAUGCAACCCAGGGCAAGCACUGGGAUCUCAGGCUGUGUAGAACAGAAAUGCGUUCAUCUGAAUCCAGUGCCAAAAUCUUCUCAUCAGUACAAACCAGGACGAGAGCAGCUCAGAAGCACAGAUAGCACAGAGAUGGACAUUCACACUUUUCUCCCUUAGAAAAACACACAGUGAUCCAAAACGCAUCCUGACCAGGACAUUUCCUUGCUGUCUACAGCAGGCUGUGUGCAAAGAGACAUUUGGGGUUAUCAUGGCGCAGCACAACGCAGCCAGGGAGAAGCUGUGGAUGCCCAAUGGGAGCUGUUGGCUUCUGGCUUUGCUGGGGACUUAUUUCCUACAUGGGUCCUAUGUGGGACUCAACAAUGAAAUGCAGAUGCUGAUUCCUCCUAAUUCACCAGAGCUCCCAGGGUCUGUCCUGAUGCCAUUGACAGAGAUUUUCAAUGUACUUUUGCACUCACAACCUUAUAAAAUGGGGCAUGGGGGCGGAGAAGAUGAAGACAGGCUGCCCAGAGCUGCGGGUGCCCCAUCCCCACAGUGCCUGAGGCCACAGAUGGGUGCUGGGCAGCCUGAGCUGUGGGGGCAGCCACCCAUGGCAAGGGGUGGGCAUUCGGGGCUUUGAGAUUCCCUCCCACCCAACCAUUCCACGAUUCUGUGAUUCUCUGAAGACGUGGGCACAGCUCAAGGCCCUGCAGUGAAAGCACUUCUGGGGUUUCCAAGCCCAAGGGAGCUCAAAGCAUCUCCCUCGGCCUCACUUUUCACAGGCAGCACAGCAGAGCCAGCCAUAAGACGUCUGUCCUGUCCCGGCUGCGGGAGCCUGGCACUAUCACAUCAACCAGAUGCUCUGUUCCAAUAGGAAGGGAAUUGCAGCCUCCCUCGUCCACCAGGGGAUCCAUCGCAAACCCUCACCACCCAUAACAAACACAGGGGUUUGGCCUUUUUAUCAGCAUUUGUUCAGCAGCCUGUGGAGACAGUCUGCCUCGCCGGACUCCUUUCCAGGCAGAUAACGCCCAGUUCUGACAGCGCCCUGUGCUGUUGUUUUGGCUCAGAGUUGGGGAAUUGCCCUUUUCGAGCCGGGUCUGUCCGAGGAAGAAAAGCAGCCGACGUCACUGAGUGAUGUGCCAAGCGCAGCACCCUUAAAAAAUAGCUCUCUCCCCAUCCCUAUCCAUAUCUACCCAUUGCAUUUGCAAACGCCAAACUGGAAGCUCCCCGGGAGGGGAGGAUUAAACCGGGAUUAUUGCAUUCAGAGCCGGUUCGGAAAAGAGGGAGUAGGGGUGGAUAUAUAUAUAUCUAUAUCUAUAUCAAAAUGGCUUUAAUUAACUGCGGAGGGUUUGUUGUGUCCGGCGGUGCUCUCCUAGCAGCGGGAGCUAAAUGUGCCGCGGGCAGGACGGGAGGAAGGCUAGGUUGAGGAAGACAUCAAAGCAGAUCUGAGAAAGGUCAGAUAUAAAUGGCAACCUGUCCGCUUUGCGAGGGUUCGCUCUUCUAUUUACGAUGGUGUUUUCUGGGAAGAGCCGCUCGGAGCCAACUGGGGCAGGCUUGUAAAAAGAUAAUUUUUCUCCCUUAGAAAACACACAGGCAGACAGACAGACAGACGGGGCUUCUGGCUCUUCUCCCUCCCCGGGAUCUGCUGCCCUGGGCAAUUUGUUCUGUUGCAGCAGCCCUGUGACCGGCGUCUGGGCUGCUCAGAGCAGACGCCGGCGCUCCGGCAAAGAGCUGCUCACCGCAGCGUGGGGAAAUGUUUUCUGCAGUGGUGCAGCAGCGUCUUAAAGAGCAGCACUGUUAUUUCGCAGUCGUCUCCAAUAAUAACCCGGCGAGAGCAGCCACAAAGCACAGGAGCGAAGCUGCUGCCGCCGACUGAAAGUUUAAGGAAGGAGGAACAGAAGUGGGAAGAGAAUAGAAAUAGGGACUGAGUCAUGGGCUGAAGGCAGCGAGGGCACAAAAAGGCUUCCAGAGAGUGUCUGUGGGACGGUGCAGUCCGGAGCCUCCCCAGAUGUCUGCAGCCUCAAAAUGGGGAUGUGAGAAUCAUUGGGGCAGAAGGGAGAGUGUCUGCUCUGCUCUGCAUCUGGACCAGGGGCGCUCAUUGCUGAAAUGCACAAGUGCAGCUCUUUUGGUGCUGAAACUCUCUUUGAGUGUGGCUGCAUCGGGACCUGCAGGGUUUGCGUGUGCAGAAGGGCACGGUGGGGUGGGGGCUGCAGAGGUGUCCACAGCUCCCCAGCAGCCCAUCCCAUCACGAGCCAGGAUGCGAAUGAGCAGGUGGAGUGCUGGAGCUGGCUGUGAUGCCUGAUGGAACCCAACUGCGUGUGUUGUCAGUGGGGAUCAGCUCCUUGUAUUAUCUAAUGAGUGAGUGGUGACGGACCUACGCCAGUCAGAUCAUAGAAUCAUGGAAUUGUUUGAGUAGGAAGGGACCUUUAAAGGCCACCUGGUCCAUCUCCCCUGCAGUGAACUGGGACACCCACUGCUCCAUCAGGUGCUCAGAACCCGUCCAGCCGACUCUGAACAGAGUGAGCUGAGCUGAGGGUGCAGAGGUGCAGAACACCUUGGGGUCCCCGCAGCCAUUGUCCCACUUUCUAAGGGACUGUGUCACUCUGCCCUGAGUUCCACCCAGCCCUGGGGCAAAGGAUGGCUGCUGUUGAACAGCAUCUACCAGCAAGAGUCAUUUGGGAGGAAAGAGAAUAUACCACACUGCACAAAAAUCAUUGGUCUCCAAAGCCAGGUUAGGGCAUCGCUGUCCUCCUCCAACUCCCCUCGCUGUGACACGGGCUGGGUGACAGUGACAGUGACACCAACAGCCCCACUAUUAAACAUAUAGGACCGGGGGAUGGCACGCACCAUCCUACUGCCCAUUAUUGAUACCACCAUUAGCCCAACAACAAAGGUCUCUCUUGAAGCCAUAAAGCAAGGGCGGCAUGUUUAUGAGCUGAGGUUUCCUCC
Molecule: long non-coding RNA, 3360 nt
Filed under: Gallus gallus (chicken)
Lineage: Eukaryota; Metazoa; Chordata; Aves; Galliformes; Phasianidae
Description: lncRNA (ENSGALG00010020587.1)
Source: RNAcentral